CUGUUGUUUUACGAGAGGAUCUCUCAGCUCAAGUUAGGACUCUUAAAAAACGUGUUAAAGAGGCAGAGGAGGAACAAUAUCGAGCUGAGGAAGAUGCGGCAUCUCUGAGAGCAGAGCUUAACUCGAUACAACAGCAAGCAAUGAG
Camelina sativa (false flax) is the source of this 145-nucleotide non-coding RNA. The record is from RefSeq and is a predicted model, not a curated record. NCBI's taxonomy places the organism in Eukaryota, Viridiplantae, Streptophyta, Magnoliopsida, Brassicales, Brassicaceae.